AACGUCCGUCGUGGAGAGGGAAACAACCCAGACCGCCAGCUAAGGUCCCCAAGUCUAUAUUAAGUGGGAAACGAAGUGGGAAGGCUUAGACAGCUAGGAUGUUGGCUUAGAAGCAGCCAUCAUUUAAAGAAAGCGUAAUAGCUCACUAGUCGAGUCGGCCUGCGCGGAAGAUGUAACGGGGCUGAAAUAUAGCACCGAAGCUGCGGCAUCAGGCGUAUCACUAAUACGCCUUACGAUUAACAACAUGGAAUGGCGCGAAGCGGCAUGAAAGGUUGUUCAAGCAACCCGAACGUUGAGUCGGGGUAUUUUUGAAGUAAGGAUUAUUAGUGAUACGCCUGUUGGGUAGGGGAGCGUUGUGUAAGCGGAUGAAGGUUAAUCGAGAGGUUAGCUGGACGUAUCACAAGUGCGAAUGCUGACAUAAGUAACGAUAAAACGGGUGAAAAACCCGUUCGCCGGAAGACCAAGGGUUCCUGUCCAACGUUAAUCGGGGCAGGGUGAGUCGGCUCCUAAGGCGAGGCUGAAAAGCGUAGUCGAUGGGAAACAGGUUAAUAUUCCUGUACUUGGUAAAGCUGCGAUGUGGGGACGGAGUAGGUUAGGUUAUCGCACUGUUGGAUAUGUGCGUUUAAGUUGGUAGGUGGGAAGUUUAGGCAAAUCCGGACUUCCUUAACACAGAGAGAUGAUGACGAGGCUCUACGGAGCUGAAGUAACUGAUACCACACUUCCAGGAAAAGCCACUAAGCGAAAGGCUUUACUAAACCGUACUGAAAACCGACACAGGUGGUCAGGUAGAGAAUACUCAGGCGCUUGAGAGAACUCGGGUGAAGGAACUAGGCAAAAUAGCACCGUAACUUCGGGAGAAGGUGCGCCGGCGUAGAUUGUAGUCCCUAGCGGGCGAAGGUUGAACCGGUCGAAGAUACCAGCUGGCUGCAACUGUUUAUUAAAAACACAGCACUCUGCAAACACGAAAGUGGACGUAUAGGGUGUGAUGCCUGCCCGGUGCUGGAAGGUUAAUUGAUGGUGUCAUCGCAAGAGAAGCACCUGAUCGAAGCCCCAGUAAACGGCGGCCGUAACUAUAACGGUCCUAAGGUAGCGAAAUUCCUUGUCGGGUAAGUUCCGACCUGCACGAAUGGCAUAAUGAUGGCCAGGCUGUCUCCACCCGAGACUCAGUGAAAUUGAAAUCGCCGUGAAGAUGCGGUGUACCCGCGGCUAGACGGAAAGACCCCGUGAACCUUUACUAUAGCUUGACACUGAACAUUGAAUUUUGAUGUGUAGGAUAGGUGGGAGCCUUUGAAGCAGUGACGCCAGUCAUUGUGGAGGCGACCUUGAAAUACCACCCUUUAACGUUUGAUGUUCUAACGAAGAUGACGAAACGUGGUCUCGGACAGUGUCUGGUGGGUAGUUUGACUGGGGCGGUCUCCUCCCAAAGCGUAACGGAGGAGCACGAAGGUUUGCUAAUCACGGUCGGACAUCGUGAGGUUAGUGCAAUGGUAUAAGCAAGCUUAACUGCGAGACAGACAAGUCGAGCAGGUACGAAAGUAGGUCAUAGUGAUCCGGUGGUUCUGAAUGGAAGGGCCAUCGCUCAACGGAUAAAAGGUACUCCGGGGAUAACAGGCUGAUACCGCCCAAGAGUUCAUAUCGACGGCGGUGUUUGGCACCUCGAUGUCGGCUCAUCACAUCCUGGGGCUGAAGUAGGUCCCAAGGGUAUGGCUGUUCGCCAUUUAAAGUGGUACGCGAGCUGGGUUUAGAACGUCGUGAGACAGUUCGGUCCCUAUCUGCCGUGGGCGUUGGAUGAUUGAUUGGGGCUGCUCCUAGUACGAGAGGACCGGAGUGGACGCAUCACUGGUGUUCCAGUUGUCUCGCCAGAGGCAUUGCUGGGUAGCUAAAUGCGGAAGAGAUAAGUGCUGAAAGCAUCUAAGCACGAAACUUGCCAAGAGAUGAGUCAUCCCUGACUUUAAGUCAGUAAGGGUUGUUGUAGACUACGACGUAGAUAGGUCAGGUGUGUAAGUGUAGUGAUACAUUGAGCUAACAGAUACUAAUUGCCCGAGAGGCUUAACUAU
RNAcentral lists this ribosomal RNA (2057 nucleotides) under Haemophilus influenzae. Its description in RNAcentral is "bacterial LSU rRNA". It matches the Rfam family "Bacterial large subunit ribosomal RNA", at positions 1000 to 2925 of the family's 2925-position model. The record is from RNAcentral. Lineage: Bacteria; Pseudomonadati; Pseudomonadota; Gammaproteobacteria; Pasteurellales; Pasteurellaceae.